Molecule: non-coding RNA, 109 nt
Organism: Acanthosepion pharaonis
Lineage: Eukaryota; Metazoa; Mollusca; Cephalopoda; Sepiida; Sepiidae
Source: the annotation of a GenBank genome assembly
CGGUCACAUCACAUUAAAACAUUGGUUCCCGUACGAUCACCGAAGUUAAGCAAUGUCGAACCUGUUCAGUACCUAAAUGUAACCGUUUGAGAAUACCAGGUGCUGUAAG